This 253-nucleotide ribosomal RNA is filed under the name uncultured bacterium. RNAcentral describes it as "partial 16S ribosomal RNA". It matches the Rfam family "Bacterial small subunit ribosomal RNA", at positions 524 to 776 of the family's 1533-position model. The record is from RNAcentral.
GACGAACCGUACAAACGUUAUUCGGAAUCACUGGGCUUAAAGGGUGCGUAGGCGGCGCGGAAAGUUGGGUGUGAAAUCCCUCGGCUCAACCGAGGAACUGCGCCCAAAACUUCCGUGCUUGAGGGAGACAGAGGUGAGCGGAACUAAGGGUGGAGCGGUGAAAUGCGUUGAUAUCCUUAGGAACACCGGUGGCGAAAGCGGCUCACUGGGUCUCUUCUGACGCUGAGGCACGAAAGCUAGGGGAGCAAACGGG